Molecule: ribosomal RNA, 102 nt
Filed under: Acanthosepion pharaonis
Lineage: Eukaryota; Metazoa; Mollusca; Cephalopoda; Sepiida; Sepiidae
Source: RNAcentral
UUACGGUCACAUCAACGUUGAAACACCGGUUCCCAUACGAUCACCGAUGUUAAGCAAUGUCGAACCUGGUCAGUAACAAGAUGGGUGACCGCUUGGCAAUUA